CUGGAGGUAUCAGAAGUGCGAAUGCUGACAUAAGUAACGAUAAAGCGGGUGAAAAGCCCGCUCGCCGGAAGACCAAGGGUUCCUGUCCAACGUUAAUCGGGGCAGGGUGAGUCGACCCCUAAGGCGAGGCCGAAAGGCGUAGUCGAUGGGAAACAGGUUAAUAUUCCUGUACUUGGUGUUACUGCGAAGGGGGGACGGAGAAGGCUAUGUUGGCCGGGCGACGGUUGUCCCGGUUUAAGCGUGUAGGCUGGUUUUCCAGGCAAAUCCGGAAAAUCAAGGCUGAGGCGUGAUGACGAGGCACUACGGUGCUGAAGCAACAAAUGCCCUGCUUCCAGGAAAAGCCUCUAAGCAUCAGGUAACAUCAAAUCGUACCCCAAACCGACACAGGUGGUCAGGUAGAGAAUACCAAGGCGCUUGAGAGAACUCGGGUGAAGGAACUAGGCAAAAUGGUGCCGUAACUUCGGGAGAAGGCACGCUGAUAUGUAGGUGAAGU
Molecule: ribosomal RNA, 493 nt
Filed under: Escherichia coli
Lineage: Bacteria; Pseudomonadati; Pseudomonadota; Gammaproteobacteria; Enterobacterales; Enterobacteriaceae
Description: partial 23S ribosomal RNA
Rfam family: Bacterial large subunit ribosomal RNA
Source: RNAcentral